GAUGAACGCUGGCGGCGUGCCUAAUACAUGCAAGUCGAGCGAACACAUAAGGAGCUUGCUCCUUUGACGUUAGCGGCGGACGGGUGAGUAACACGUGGGUAACCUACCUAUAAGACUGGAAUAACUCCGGGAAACCGGGGCUAAUGCCGGAUAACAUUUAGAACCGCAUGGUUCUAAAGUGAAAGAUGGCUUUGCUAUCACUUAUAGAUGGACCCGCGCCGUAUUAGCUAGUUGGUAAGGUAACGGCUUACCAAGGCAACGAUACGUAGCCGACCUGAGAGGGUGAUCGGCCACACUGGAACUGAGACACGGUCCAGACUCCUACGGGAGGCAGCAGUAGGGAAUCUUCCGCAAUGGGCGAAAGCCUGACGGAGCAACGCCGCGUGAGUGAUGAAGGUCUUCGGAUCGUAAAACUCUGUUAUUAGGGAAGAACAAAUGUGUAAGUAACUGUGCACGUCUUGACGGUACCUAAUCAGAAAGCCACGGCUAACUACGUG
This 497-nucleotide ribosomal RNA is filed under the name uncultured bacterium. RNAcentral's name for it is "partial 16S ribosomal RNA". It matches the Rfam family "Bacterial small subunit ribosomal RNA", at positions 28 to 507 of the family's 1533-position model. The record is from RNAcentral.